GGCUUCUCCCUCAUUUUGAGUUAACUUUACAUAGUGGAUUUCUACAAGUAUCUUUUUCUUUUAUUCUGAGAAUACACCUCCAUUAUCUUCUACUAAGGCAUUCCUACCUGCACCUUAAGAGGAGCCAAUCUCUAUUCGGGAUGGUGCAGCUUGCUGUCACCAGGUUACUUCUCUUCAGAUUCAGA
RNAcentral lists this long non-coding RNA (185 nucleotides) under Fukomys damarensis (Damara mole-rat). RNAcentral's name for it is "lncRNA (ENSFDAG00000023263.1)". Lineage: Eukaryota; Metazoa; Chordata; Mammalia; Rodentia; Bathyergidae. The record is from RNAcentral.